GUCUGAGAGGAUGACCAGCCACACUGGAACUGAGACACGGUCCAGACUCCUACGGGAGGCAGCAGUGGGGAAUAUUGCACAAUGGGCGCAAGCCUGAUGCAGCCAUGCCGCGUGUAUGAAGAAGGCCUUCGGGUUGUAAAGUACUUUCAGCGGGGAGGAAGGUGUUGUGGUUAAUAACCGCAGCAAUUGACGUUACCCGCAGAAGAAGCACCGGCUAACUCCGUGCCAGCAGCCGCGGUAAUACGGAGGGUGCAAGCGUUAAUCGGAAUUACUGGGCGUAAAGCGCACGCAGGCGGUCUGUCAAGUCGGAUGUGAAAUCCCCGGGCUCAACCUGGGAACUGCAUUCGAAACUGGCAGGC
This 359-nucleotide ribosomal RNA is filed under the name Salmonella enterica. Its description in RNAcentral is "bacterial SSU rRNA". It matches the Rfam family "Bacterial small subunit ribosomal RNA", at positions 290 to 641 of the family's 1533-position model. The record is from RNAcentral. Lineage: Bacteria; Pseudomonadati; Pseudomonadota; Gammaproteobacteria; Enterobacterales; Enterobacteriaceae.